This 497-nucleotide ribosomal RNA is filed under the name uncultured bacterium. RNAcentral describes it as "partial 16S ribosomal RNA". It matches the Rfam family "Bacterial small subunit ribosomal RNA", at positions 28 to 507 of the family's 1533-position model. The record is from RNAcentral.
GAUGAACGCUGGCGGCGUGCCUAAUACAUGCAAGUCGAGCGAACAGACGAGGAGCUUGCUCCUCUGACGUUAGCGGCGGACGGGUGAGUAACACGUGGAUAACCUACCUAUAAGACUGGGAUAACUUCGGGAAACCGGAGCUAAUACCGGAUAAUAUAUUGAACCGUAUGGUUCAAUAGUUAAAGACGGUUUUGCUGUCACUUAUAGAUGGAUCCGCGCCGCAUUAGCUAGUUGGUAAGGUAACGGCUUACCAAGGCGACGAUGCGUAGCCGACCUGAGAGGGUGAUCGGCCACACUGGAACUGAGACACGGUCCAGACUCCUACGGGAGGCAGCAGUAGGGAAUCUUCCGCAAUGGGCGAAAGCCUGACGGAGCAACGCCGCGUGAGUGAUGAAGGUCUUCGGAUCGUAAAACUCUGUUAUUAGGGAAGAACAAAUGUGUAAGUAACUAUGCACGUCUUGACGGUACCUAAUCAGAAAGCCACGGCUAACUACGUG